UCUCUUUCCCAGGCUGUCCUCACUCUCAACAUCCCCUCCAGCCAACUGCUGUUCUGAUUUUCCCUCCAGAAACUGACUUCACCAAUUCUAGAACUUCAUACAAAUGGAUCACACGGUAAUUUCAAGGUCCAGAGCUGAAGACAUGAGCCUUUGGGAGUAACCCUACUCUUCCUCUGAUAUUGUUCCCUGCAUUUCCUGGAUCUCCAGCCUUCUCUGAUAUUAGCCAUGAAUAUCAUAUGUAUUGGGGAAUCAGAAGUAUCAGCCGGUUUGGAGUAUUGGGAGGACACUGGAAGAGCGGAAUUUAAGGUUCAUCUGUUUGAAUUGGAACUUGAGCUCGUCUCAAGAAGUCUGCUUACCACUAUAGGGAAAAGCAAACAAUGAUUGUAUGUAUUUUUCCUUGGUGGAUAGUACAUGGUUAGCAUUUUUUCAAACUAAUAAAGAUAAUCAUUACCAUUUAUAGAGUGCUUACCUAAAACAGUCAUUAAGUCCAAAAUUUUUAAUUCUCAUAAUAGCCUUAGGAAGUAGGAAUCACUUUACAAAUGACAUAACCAUAGCUCAGAAGUGGUUAACUAUUUAAAUUCACACAAAUGUUAAGUAAUGGAGCCAAAGUUUGAUUUCUAAUCUCUUUUGAACCCCAAUACUGAACUUUAAUGUUGACCCUUUUAAGGAGUCCAUAUAACUAACACACUGAUAUGCCACGCAGUGCAAAAUGUGUCUAAGUCUUUGGGCAGUUUAAUGGCAAAUGAAUUAAUAAAAAAUAAUUAAAUGUCUGAAGCAUAUUAAACACAAAAUAACUAGGCCAUGGUUGGAUCUCCACAUGAAUUCUUCCCGCUGCAGCCCUUUCUGCUGUGACAGAAAUAAAGUGAAGUCUCUCGGUAAUUCGAAGCAUAUACAGCAAUUAAUUCCACAUUUAUAUGGUCUUCUAUUUAGAACUGUGUUUUAAUUUUUAAAGCACACUUUUAAUAUCUGUGCUGUAACUGAUAAUUAUUUGGGGAAAGGGGCAGGAGCAAGAAGAUUUUAGUGGCAGCACAACAAUUUUUAAUGCAACAGCUGCAAUGCUGAAAUCAACCAUGUGCCAAGAGCUCUGAAGCCUGUCAGAGGAAAGAUAGUCUAUAGUUAGACCCUCCCACUUCAAGGUCACUGCUUUGAGGCUAGCCAAAGUUGAUUGUGGCUUAAGGUCACUUUCAUCAAUGGCUCCUUGGUGGCCUCAGUAAAUGAGAGAGUGGACGUAUCCAUUUUCCUCCUGGGCAACCACCCAGGACUAAUUAUGAAGACUGUCACUGCAAAUGGGAGGACCAACCCUGACAUAGACACUCAUCAUUGUGUCCCCUCAAGGUCUAGGUCAUGCUGAUGCUGAUUCUGAUUAUUAUUGUUAUUAUUAUUAGGUAUUCUCUGAGAAGCCUCUGGCAGAACACGAAUUUGGAAAAAACAAGCACAUUAGUUUCAGUUUCUGUUGGUCAAGAUGAAAACAGCGGACAAUGAUGAAAUUUAUUAUUGGUGUUCCACCCAUCUCCUACCCACACUUCAAGGUCCACUUCAGGCCCCAGCCCCCAACAAAGCUGUUCAGGACCAGUAAGUCCAUGAUGUCCCAUGAAUUCCAAUUGCUUCUGCUAUCUAUGGGUCCUAUUAUGGCUCAUAAUCACUUAUGACUUCAAAUUGUUUUGUACUCUGGUUGUGGAUGCUCAAGUGAGAAAUAGCAGGCAGGACAUUAAAAUCUUCCAUUGGUUCAUUGACUCAUGAAACUUGGCUUGAUAUAAGCCCUCAGAUGUCCUUAUUGGAACAACCAUGGCUUGUUUAAGAUUUCAAGGAGUCUUUCUCUGAGGCCCUCCUUAACAUAUAAAGUCUAAAAUUGCCUACAGCAGCCAUAUUCCACCUGUAUUCUUACCUUAGAAUAAAUAAGGCACAUUUAUGCUGUGUAAGAGGUGAGUACUCACUCUCUCAGGCUACUUCCUUAAUAAUAACAUUCUACUUAUGCCUUUGCAUUCUUACAUUCAUUGAAGAAAGAGGUAGAACAUUAAUCAAUUAGCUAAUUACAUUAUUAUUUAAAUCUUUAGUUCCCCUGGACAUGUUUCCAUUAUAUCUGUGUUUUAAUAAUUUAUUCCAAAUAUAUAUUUGCUUUUUGUUAGGACUUUGGUUCUUCUCGUAUUUCAGCCUCUCUCUCUUAGACAUGAAUCCUUGGGCACAUGGAGGGUAGUGAAGGUCUGUUUUACAUGAAUCACAAAACCUCUCCUGCUAAGCCACUCUUCCCACAGGUGACUCUACAAUCUGAGACAAUGUGUACUUGUUGGAAGGACCUUCACAGCAUAUAGUCUAUGAAUCCAUGGGUAAGAGACUUCAUCACAGCCAUGGAAGAAUUAAUGAUGCUUAAUAACUCUUUGUGGACUCAACUGAAUAAAUGACUGACCUUAUAGCAGUUCUGCCAUCAUCUCCAUUCUUUUCCACUUUGGCUCACAAGACCCUACAGGAAUCUGAGGCCACUGACAACACCAACCUCACAUGUUCUCUGUGGGAUCUCAAGACUGCAGAUUUAACCACCUGGUCCUGAACUCAACAACAACCUGCCUACCAAUUACUUUAGUGAUUCAAACAGAAGCUCUUAGCUGCUUGUAUAUUAUGUAUGAUUUUUCUACCACUGCAUCUAGCUGUAACAAAUCCUACAUUUUUAUUCUUUCUAAAUCAAAUUGAUUCUGACUUCGUGCCUACACUAGUCAUGGAACUUCUUUCUCCCAAAGAAAUUCAAACUCUAAUAUUUUUGGAAACAGGUGGCUUAUGUGAGUAUCCAGAAACUGAGGAAAUGUUCUCUAAUCUUCAGUCAACCAUGAUGGUCUCUGAUAUGUAUGUUGUUCAAGUACACAUGAUCUAUUCACAAUAUGUAGACCUGUUACUACUCAAGCUUGGGCAUAGGGGUCUUACUGUAGUCUGGAUUCUUAACACCUGGCAUCAACCUCAAUAGACAUACUAGGAAGGUCCAGGGUGCUAUGAGGAAAUUGUUUCCUGGUAAAACCCUGCUUCGUUGUCAGUCUAUAUGACUUCUCCUUCUUUAGGACCAGCCCUUCUGUCUAACUCACUAGGUAUUUCUCUCUCUUUCUUUAUUUUGGGGCAAAUUCUGCCUGGUAGUGUGACCAUAUGUCAUUCAAAACAGAACACUUCUAAGUCUAAAAGCAAGUAUUAGUUACAACUACAUUAGGAAAGCAGGUGGUAUAAACCAGGAUAUAUGAUUUUCCUAUGUGUAGAUGUGAU
Molecule: long non-coding RNA, 3240 nt
Filed under: Homo sapiens (human)
Lineage: Eukaryota; Metazoa; Chordata; Mammalia; Primates; Hominidae
Description: novel transcript
Source: RNAcentral